GUGAGGAACAUGUGACAUCCCGGUGCCCUGGCCUCCUCUGGAGACUGCAUAGGCCCCGAGGAGGCCAAAUGUGCUGGGAUUUGGGGAAUCAAACCCAGUGAUUUGCACUGAAGGGACAAUCAGACUUCUGUCCUGCUGGUUGGCAAGGCCAUAAGUUGGGGCUGUUUGUGGCUUUUAGUGUGAUUCCACCUGUUGGGGUCAAAUCCCCUUUAGGGCAGGUCCUAAAGCAGGUGGGGCACACCCUGAUUGUCAGCUUGGAGGGGUCCUCUGUGGGGGGUCUCCCUGAGUGGAAUCUGUCCAUCCCCCCAAGUCACCACCGUGUCUGGAGCUCUGCUGUCCUCCAAGCAGGAAGCUCAAUGCCUGGCCACAGGUGGUUCCCCUCAGCACCUUCAUAUCGGUACAGUAGCCACCAUCUGCAUUCCCUGGAUGGUCCAGCAGACAUGACCCUUCCUGUGGCCAGGCCCAGAUCUCCCCCAAGGGCCCUGUGAGUCUGUCAGAGAAGGAUCUGGAAGGGCUCUGUGAGACAGGAGGAGGGGGAGAUGGGACCUCCUUGCUUCUGGGAUGACUGUGGUUUGUGACAUCCAUCCAGUGGUUGAGACUAGGAGGAGGAGGAGGGGUCAGAGCAGGGCAAAGACCCACUUUAUUUAUGGAAGAGAGACCCUUUCUGUGCAUGCAGAACUGAGGCCUGAGGGGCCUGCGUCCUGAAGGUCAGGCAGGAAGUGUCCCAUCAGGGCCUGGUGUUCCCAGGAACAGAGCAUCGGCCUCCCCAGACACAGACUCCAGGAUGCGCUGACACAGGAGGGCCUGGCCCAGGUCUUGCUCCAGGUGACCAGGCCUGACUCUCUGCAGAAGGAACCAUGAAGCACUUAGGGAACCCAGGAUUGGCACUUUCUGUCUCACCUGGAGGAGCUGGAGCCCCGUCCUUCCUCUUCAGUCCUGGACACCAGAGAUGUUUGUGACGUGGCUCUGAGACACAUGCCCCAGAGACUCAGCCCCUCUACACACCUCACAGGGGCACAGCCACACCAGGGCCAAGGACAGAACCCAGGGCGUUGCACAUACUAGGCAAGAGCUCUGCCUUGCCUUAGAGCCACAUCACGAGCAUCUGGUGUCCAGAUUCGAGCUGCUUCCCUCUGCCACACUCUUCCACCAUGAUGUUCAGACCCACCUUGAGCCCUGAGGAAUGGAGUCUGCUGUCUAUGGAUUGAGACCUCUGAAACCAUGAACCCCCAAAUAAACUUCUCCUCCUC
This is a long non-coding RNA of Marmota monax (woodchuck), 1250 nucleotides long. RefSeq lists it as uncharacterized. Lineage: Eukaryota; Metazoa; Chordata; Mammalia; Rodentia; Sciuridae. The transcript has 3 exons. The record is from RefSeq and is a predicted model, not a curated record.